Molecule: ribosomal RNA, 193 nt
Filed under: uncultured bacterium
Lineage: Bacteria
Description: partial 16S ribosomal RNA
Rfam family: Bacterial small subunit ribosomal RNA
Source: RNAcentral
UACGGGAGGCAGCAGUGGACAAUUUUGGGCAAUGGGCGAAAGCCUGAGGCAGCAGUGCCGCGUGAGGGAUGAAGGUCCUAGGGUUGUAAACCUCCCUACGCCGGGAAGAAGACUCUACGGGAGGUAGCAGUAUUUGAUGACGGUAGCAGCCGAGUAAGAGCCGGCUAACUCCGUGCCAGCAGCCGCGGUAAUA